UUAUUUUCCCAAAUGUUUCUUCUGUUCGGAUCUGAAGUGAAUCUACAUCUUGAAGCCCUUGUUGUGCCUCCAAACACACAACAACCUGACAUUUUCAGAGAAUAAAUGAAUAAAAUAGCUGAUUUACAUGCAGAUGGAUUAACAGCCAACACUGUUUUGGAACCAAGAUGUCGCCACUCAUCACGUGACACCCCCCAUGUCACCACACUCUCAAUUAAGGCACACUAACAGUUACUGAUGUGGGACUCACGUGCACGUGCUGUCAGACUGAGUGCACAGAGGAGUUUAUUCUCUGCUCAGAAUUAUUUUAAGACAAAAUAAGUGAUGAAAAUUUCAGUUCUAUAAACUAGUUUUUACGUUACCGCAGUUCACUUAAACCUAGAGUGCAGUGCAAGUUCCCUGGGAACUUUGGUGCCCCCUUAAGGGGAAAACUUUUUAUCAUGCAACUUCAGAUAAAACUUUUUUUUUUACAUAUUUGAAUCAAAUUUAAGCAUGACUGAAGUUUUGACUAAAAUUGACCACCAGAGCUGAAAAAAAAAUCUCAUGGAAAAACUGCAAUGAGUCAUGUUUUCCUCAGUCAUUUUAUUGAUCACUGGCAUCAGGAAAACCAUGAUCAGCGUUAUGACCCCAAAAAGAGCAUGCAAGAUUUGAGGUCAAAGGUCACAUCACAGACUCUUGGCUACAUGUUUGUCACUUAAGGUUCCUGAGACGUCCCAGGACGACUGAAAAGGUGAACAGAAAAACAUGCAGCAUGGCUGCAGCAGGCACACUGCCCUCCAGAGGGAGAACAGGGAGCUGCAGUCUGAUGUGAACAAACCUCAAUCUAUAAAACUUGUUUCAGACUCGUUUCUUUUCUUUCUGUUAAUCUGUGAGUCGUUAACUCAUCAUCCAGAAACAGGUUCAGUCCAGUUUGUAUUCAGUCAUGUUGUGUUUCAGCGCCGCCUCCGAGCGAGCAGCGCUCUUUAUUGCUCGCUGUAUCAGCCACAUGCUCACAUGGACGCUGAUAAAAGCACUGCCAGCUGCCCAGAACCAGUUCCUCCUGAUCCAGCUCUGAGACCUCAUCACCCAGAUCCUGAUCAGCUUACACGUCUUACUCUGUUGGACCAGCAGUCCACUGAGGCUGGGACCUUGGACCUUGCAGGGACAGACUGGUGUGGGUAUCCGGGUCGGGUCUACUUGUUCUUGGACUGGAUUUGUCUUUGGGACUUUGAAUCAGAGGAUAUGCCUUCAGGUUGUACCAGCCCCAGUGGAUCAGCCCCAGACUGGUUCCCAUAACAAUCAGGACUUUGUACUUUUCCCAGAUGCUCUGGAGGCCCAUGACAGACAGGAAGUCACCUAGAACAACAUUAACCAA
Molecule: long non-coding RNA, 1354 nt
Organism: Thalassophryne amazonica
Lineage: Eukaryota; Metazoa; Chordata; Actinopteri; Batrachoidiformes; Batrachoididae
Exons: 2
Source: RefSeq, a predicted model, not a curated record